This 73-nucleotide ribosomal RNA is filed under the name Timarcha gougeleti. RNAcentral describes it as "partial 5.8S ribosomal RNA". The record is from RNAcentral. Lineage: Eukaryota; Metazoa; Arthropoda; Insecta; Coleoptera; Chrysomelidae.
AACAUCGACAUUUCGAACGCACAUUGCGGUCCUCGGAUACUGUUCCCGGACCACUCCUGGCUGAGGGUCGUAU